AUAUAAAGCCAUCAAGUAAGGUCUGUUAUCAAUAGCUAGUUACAUAUAUCUCAGGAAUAAAUGCUUUGAUAAACAUUAUACAGUGUUCUUGUCAUUUGAUUGGUCUCGUGUUUUGUUUAGUGUCAAUUAUCCUCAUAUUAAUAUGAAGUUGGGCGCGUGCAUCUGUUCGCUGUUGGUGGUGGCCUGUCAAGCUAACAAUGGUGCGACACCAACUACAGUAAACAAUUACGUAGAAACAAACAACAACAAUUACAAUAUUAAUUACAACAAUUACAACUUAAAUAACAACAUGUACAAUCCGAACGCGUUUUACAACAACAUGCAACAACAAUACCAAAACGCUAUGUUUGGUCCUUAUUAUAGAGCAUACAGACCAAAUCUUGUUGAGGGCAUACUUCAUACUGUUUCUGACACUGUGUGGAAUAUUGGAAGCCUCUUAGGACAUCGGCAUUACUAAAAGAUAUUAUAGAAAUAAUGACAGUAGUAUAUCAAAGAAUUACCUACCUUCGUACUAAUGACAACAUUAUAUGGGACUUGCCAUUGGCUUUAGUUAUAAAUGUUAACGAAAAAUUGUAAACACCGUUAGAUUGUAAUCUAUCUCGCGAGAUUAUAAACUGUCGAAAGAUUGUGAACCUCAGCGUACUGCUUACAAUUUAA
This is a long non-coding RNA of Pieris napi, 657 nucleotides long. RefSeq lists it as uncharacterized. NCBI's taxonomy places the organism in Eukaryota, Metazoa, Arthropoda, Insecta, Lepidoptera, Pieridae. The transcript has 3 exons. The record is from RefSeq and is a predicted model, not a curated record.